AGUGAACGCUGGCGGUAUGCCUAACACAUGCAAGUCGAACGGCAGCACAGUAAGAGCUUGCUCUUACGGGUGGCGAGUGGCGGACGGGUGAGGAAUACAUCGGAAUCUACUUUUUCGUGGGGGAUAACGUAGGGAAACUUACGCUAAUACCGCAUACGACCUACGGGUGAAAGCAGGGGAUCUUCGGACCUUUCGCGAUUGAAUGAGCCGAUGUCGGAUUAGCUAGUUGGCGGGGUAAAGGCCCACCAAGGCGACGAUCCGUAGCUGGUCUGAGAGGAUGAUCAGCCACACUGGAACUGAGACACGGUCCAGACUCCUACGGGAGGCAGCAGUGGGGAAUAUUGGACAAUGGGCGCAAGCCUGAUCCAGCCAUACCGCGUGGGUGAAGAAGGCCUUCGGGUUGUAAAGCCCUUUUGUUGGGAAAGAAAGGCAGCAGGUUAAUACCCCGCUGUUCUGACGGUACCCAAAGAAUAAGCACCGGCUAACUUCGUG
Molecule: ribosomal RNA, 492 nt
Filed under: uncultured bacterium
Lineage: Bacteria
Description: partial 16S ribosomal RNA
Rfam family: Bacterial small subunit ribosomal RNA
Source: RNAcentral